Molecule: ribosomal RNA, 444 nt
Filed under: Triticum aestivum (bread wheat)
Lineage: Eukaryota; Viridiplantae; Streptophyta; Magnoliopsida; Poales; Poaceae
Description: partial small subunit ribosomal RNA
Source: RNAcentral
AUGCAGAUGCAGAUCUUCGUGAAGACACUCACCAGCAAGAUCAUCACGCUUGAGGUCGAGUCCUCUGACACAGUCGACAAUGUGAAGGCGAUAUUCCAGGAUAAGGAGGGUAUCCCGGUGGACCGGCAGCGCCUCAUUUUUGCUCGCAAGCAGCUUGAGGAUGGUCGGACACUUGGUGAUUACAAUAUACAGAAGGAGUCCACCCUCCACCUGGUGCUCAGGCUCAGGGCUGAUAUGCAUUUCUUUGUGAUGACACUCACUGGCAAGAUCAUCAUGUUUGAUCUGUUCUCCGACACAAUUGAUAAUGCAAGGCGAAGAUCCAGGAUAAGGAGGGUGUCCCGCCGGACCAGCAGGGCCUCAUCUUUGUUGGCAAGCAACUGGAAGAUGGCCGGACCCUGGCCGAAUAUAACAUCCAGAAGGAGUCGACACUCUACCUUGUGCUGA